CGCGGCCUAUCAGCUUGUUGGUGGGGUAACGGCUCACCAAGGCGACGACGGGUAGCUGGUCUGAGAGGAUGUCCAGCCACACUGGGACUGAGACACGGCCCAGACUCCUACGGGAGGCAGCAGUGGGGAAUCUUGCGCAAUGGGCGAAAGCCUGACGCAGCGACGCCGCGUGCGGGAAGACGGCCCUCGGGUUGUAAACCGCUUUCAGCAGGGACGAUCGUGACGGUACCUGCAGAAGAAGCCCCGGCCAACUACGUGCCAGCAGCCGCGGUAAUACGUAGGGGGCGAGCGUUGUCCGGAUUUAUUGGGCGUAAAGAGCUCGUAGGCGGUUUGGUGAGUCGGGUGUGAAAUCUCCACGCUCAACGUGGAGGGGCCACUCGAUACUGCCAUGACUCGAGUCCGGUAGAGGAGCGUGGAAUUCCCGGUGUAGCGGUGAAAUGCGCAGAUAUCGGGAGGAACACCCGUGGCGAAGGCGGCGCUCUGGGCCGGAACUGACGCUGAGGAGCGAAAGUGUGGGGAGCGAACAGGAUUAGAUACCCUGGUAGUCCACGCCGUAAACGUUGGGCACUAGGUGUGGGGCUCUAUCGACGGGUUCCGUGCCGAAGCUAACGCAUUAAGUGCCCCGCCUGGGGAGUACGG
This 639-nucleotide ribosomal RNA is filed under the name uncultured Actinomycetes bacterium. Its description in RNAcentral is "bacterial SSU rRNA". It matches the Rfam family "Bacterial small subunit ribosomal RNA", at positions 232 to 885 of the family's 1533-position model. The record is from RNAcentral. Lineage: Bacteria; Bacillati; Actinomycetota; Actinomycetes.